UAAGUUAGAAAGGGCGCACGGUGGAUGCCUUGACACUAGGAGUCGAUGAAGGACGGGACUAACGCCGAUAUGCUUCGGGGAGCUGUAAGUAAGCUUUGAUCCGAAGAUUUCCGAAUGGGGAAACCCACCAUACGUAAUGGUAUGGUAUCCUUAUCUGAAUACAUAGGAUAAGGAAGACAGACCCAGGGAACUGAAACAUCUAAGUACCUGGAGGAAGAGAAAGCAAAUGCGAUUUCCUGAGUAGCGGCGAGCGAAACGGAACAUAGCCCAAACCAAGAGGCUUGCCUCUUGGGGUUGUAGGACAUUCUAUACGGAGUUACAAAGGAACGAGGUAGACGAAGCGACCUGGAAAGGUCCGUCGUAGAGGGUAACAACCCCGUAGUCGAAACUUCGUUCUCUCUUGAAUGUAUCCUGAGUACGGCGGAACACGUGAAAUUCCGUCGGAAUCUGGGAGGACCAUCUCCCAAGGCUAAAUACUCCCUAGUGAUCGAUAGUGAACCAGUACCGUGAGGGAAAGGUGAAAAGCACCCCGGAAGGGGAGUGAAAGAGAUCCUGAAACCGUGUGCCUACAAAUAGUCAGAGCCCGUUAAUGGGUGAUGGUGUGCCUUUUGUAGAAUGAACCGGCGAGUUACGAUCCCGUGCGAGGUUAAGCUGAAGAGGCGGAGCCGCAGCGAAAGCGAGUCUGAAUAGGGCGUUUAGUACGUGGUCGUAGACCCGAAACCAGGUGAUCUACCCAUGUCCAGGGUGAAGUUCAGGUAACACUGAAUGGAGGCCCGAACCCACGCACGUUGAAAAGUGCGGGGAUGAGGUGUGGGUAGCGGAGAAAUUCCAAUCGAACCUGGAGAUAGCUGGUUCUCCCCGAAAUAGCUUUAGGGCUAGCCUUAAGUGUAAGAGUCUUGGAGGUAGAGCACUGAUUGGACUAGGGGUCCUCAUCGGAUUACCGAAUUCAGUCAAACUCCGAAUGCCAAUGACUUAUCCUUAGGAGUCAGACUGCGAGUGAUAAGAUCCGUAGUCAAAAGGGAAACAGCCCAGACCGCCAGCUAAGGUCCCAAAGUGUGUAUUAAGUGGAAAAGGAUGUGGAGUUGCUUAGACAACUAGGAUGUUGGCUUAGAAGCAGCCACCAUUUAAAGAGUGCGUAAUAGCUCACUAGUCGAGUGACUCUGCGCCGAAAAUGUACCGGGGCUAAAUACACCACCGAAGCUGCGGAUUGAUACCAAUGGUAUCAGUGGUAGGGGAGCGUUCUAAGGACAGUGAAGUCAGACCGGAAGGACUGGUGGAGUGCUUAGAAGUGAGAAUGCCGGUAUGAGUAGCGAAAGACGGGUGAGAAUCCCGUCCACCGAAUGCCUAAGGUUUCCUGAGGAAGGCUCGUCCGCUCAGGGUUAGUCAGGACCUAAGCCGAGGCCGACAGGCGUAGGCGAUGGACAACAGGUUGAUAUUCCUGUACCACCUCUUUAUCGUUUGAGCAAUGGAGGGACGCAGAAGGAUAGAAGAAGCGUGCGAUUGGUUGUGCACGUCCAAGCAGUUAGGCUGAUAAGUAGGCAAAUCCGCUUAUCGUGAAGGCUGAGCUGUGAUGGGGAAGCUCCUUAUGGAGCGAAGUCUUUGAUUCCCCGCUGCCAAGAAAAGCUUCUAGCGAGAUAAAAGGUGCCUGUACCGCAAACCGACACAGGUAGGCGAGGAGAGAAUCCUAAGGUGUGCGAGAGAACUCUGGUUAAGGAACUCGGCAAAAUGACCCCGUAACUUCGGGAGAAGGGGUGCUUUCUUAACGGAAAGCCGCAGUGAAUAGGCCCAAGCGACUGUUUAGCAAAAACACAGCUCUCUGCGAAGCCGUAAGGCGAAGUAUAGGGGGUGACACCUGCCCGGUGCUGGAAGGUUAAGGAGAGGGGUUAGCGUAAGCGAAGCUCUGAACUGAAGCCCCAGUAAACGGCGGCCGUAACUAUAACGGUCCUAAGGUAGCGAAAUUCCUUGUCGGGUAAGUUCCGACCCGCACGAAAGGUGUAACGAUUUGGGCACUGUCUCAACCAGAGACUCGGUGAAAUUAUAGUACCUGUGAAGAUGCAGGUUACCCGCGACAGGACGGAAAGACCCCGUGGAGCUUUACUGUAGCCUGAUAUUGAAUUUUGGUACAGUUUGUACAGGAUAGGCGGGAGCCUUUGAAACCGGAGCGCUAGCUUCGGUGGAGGCGCUGGUGGGAUACCGCCCUGACUGUAUUGAAAUUCUAACCUACGGGUCUUAUCGACCCGGGAGACAGUGUCAGGUGGGCAGUUUGACUGGGGCGGUCGCCUCCUAAAGUGUAACGGAGGCGCCCAAAGGUUCCCUCAGAAUGGUUGGAAAUCAUUCGUAGAGUGCAAAGGCAUAAGGGAGCUUGACUGCGAGACCUACAAGUCGAGCAGGGACGAAAGUCGGGCUUAGUGAUCCGGUGGUUCCGCAUGGAAGGGCCAUCGCUCAACGGAUAAAAGCUACCCCGGGGAUAACAGGCUUAUCUCCCCCAAGAGUCCACAUCGACGGGGAGGUUUGGCACCUCGAUGUCGGCUCAUCGCAUCCUGGGGCUGUAGUCGGUCCCAAGGGUUGGGCUGUUCGCCCAUUAAAGCGGUACGCGAGCUGGGUUCAGAACGUCGUGAGACAGUUCGGUCCCUAUCCGUCGUGGGCGUAGGAAAUUUGAGAGGAGCUGUCCUUAGUACGAGAGGACCGGGAUGGACGCACCGCUGGUGUACCAGUUGUUCUGCCAAGGGCAUAGCUGGGUAGCUAUGUGCGGAAGGGAUAAGUGCUGAAAGCAUCUAAGCAUGAAGCCCCCCUCAAGAUGAGAUUUCCCAUAGCGUAAGCUAGUAAGAUCCCUGAAAGAUGAUCAGGUUGAUAGGUUCGAGGUGGAAGCAUGGUGACAUGUGGAGCUGACGAAUACUAAUAGAUCGAGGACUUAACCA
RNAcentral lists this ribosomal RNA (2918 nucleotides) under Bacillus anthracis (anthrax bacterium). RNAcentral's name for it is "bacterial LSU rRNA". It matches the Rfam family "Bacterial large subunit ribosomal RNA". The record is from RNAcentral. Lineage: Bacteria; Bacillati; Bacillota; Bacilli; Caryophanales; Bacillaceae.